Molecule: ribosomal RNA, 489 nt
Filed under: uncultured bacterium
Lineage: Bacteria
Description: partial 16S ribosomal RNA
Rfam family: Bacterial small subunit ribosomal RNA
Source: RNAcentral
AUUGAACGCUGGCGGCAGGCUUAACACAUGCCAGUCGAGCGGUAGCACAGGGGAGCUUGCUCCCUGGGUGACGAGCGGCGGACGGGUGAGUAAUGUCUGGGAAACUGCCUGAUGGAGGGGGAUAACUACUGGAAACGGUAGCUAAUACCGCAUAACGUCGCAAGACCAAAGAGGGGGACCUUCGGGCCUCUUGCCAUCAGAUGUGCCCAGAUGGGAUUAGCUAGUAGGUGGGGUAAUGGCUCACCUAGGCGACGAUCCCUAGCUGGUCUGAGAGGAUGACCAGCCACACUGGAACUGAGACACGGUCCAGACUCCUACGGGGGCAGCAGUGGGGAAUAUUGCACAAUGGGCGCAAGCCUGAUGCAGCCAUGCCGCGUGUGUGAAGAAGGCCUUCGGGUUGUAAAGCACUUUCAGCGAGGAGGAAGGUGGUGAGCUUAAUACGUUCAUCAAUUGACGUUACUCGCAGAAGAAGCACCGGCUAACUCCGUG